Molecule: long non-coding RNA, 457 nt
Filed under: Carica papaya (papaya)
Lineage: Eukaryota; Viridiplantae; Streptophyta; Magnoliopsida; Brassicales; Caricaceae
Description: long non-coding RNA (CPAP_LNC011570)
Source: RNAcentral
GAGGGGUAUCGGUUCCACUUGCCCUUUAGGGUAUCUAUUUCUCCUUCCCUAUCUGGUUUGGAAAGACAUAAAAGAACCACUCCCAGUGGAUGACGAUGUACCCUCUGAUGAGAGUGGUGUCGCAUGUCUGUAGGGGUCACCCGUGGAUAAGUAAUGUCGUGGCUGUAGAUAUAUGUUAGGGCCACUAUGGCUAGUAUGGCCAGCUGGAAAUGAGCUUGAACAAAUUACCGCAUCUAUAUCUGAUCUGGUCAUUUCACUUGGGCAAUUGAAAAUCUGUAUCUACCCUCAGAUACGGAAGUUGUAAUGACUUUACGAAGCAUGAGACGAUAAUCUAAGCAUUUCAUGAUUUAUGUUAUUUUUUUUAUUGUCUGGUAUGAUGUAUGUUUGAUUGUCUAUAUUAACGUGUCGUUUUAUUAACAAAUAAAUAGUUUUCCAUAAUGUGAGAUAGGUAAGCGAG